AUUGAACGCUGGCGGCAGGCUUAACACAUGCAAGUCGAGCGGGGUGAUGGUGCUUGCACUAUCACUUAGCGGCGGACGGGUGAGUAAUGCUUAGGAAUCUGCCUAUUAGUGGGGGACAACAUCUCGAAAGGGAUGCUAAUACCGCAUACGUCCUACGGGAGAAAGCAGGGGAUCACUUGUGACCUUGCGCUAAUAGAUGAGCCUAAGUCGGAUUAGCUAGUUGGUGGGGUAAAGGCCUACCAAGGCGACGAUCUGUAGCGGGUCUGAGAGGAUGAUCCGCCGCACUGGGACUGAGACACGGCCCAGACUCCUACGGGAGGCAGCAGUGGGGAAUAUUGGACAAUGGGGGGAACCCUGAUCCAGCCAUGCCGCGUGUGUGAAGAAGGCCUUAUGGUUGUAAAGCACUUUAAGCGAGGAGGAGGCUCUUUUGGUUAAUACCCAAGAUGAGUGGACAUUACUCGCAGAAUAAGCACCGGCUAACUCUGUGCCAGCCGCCGCAGUAA
RNAcentral lists this ribosomal RNA (503 nucleotides) under uncultured bacterium. RNAcentral's name for it is "partial 16S ribosomal RNA". It matches the Rfam family "Bacterial small subunit ribosomal RNA", at positions 30 to 523 of the family's 1533-position model. The record is from RNAcentral.